GCUUGUCUCAAGACUAAGCCAUGCAUGUCUAAGUAUAAGCGAUCUUAUACGGUGAAACUGCGAAUGGCUCAUUAAAUCAGUUAUAGUUUAUUUGAUGGUCUCUCACCACUUGGAUAACCGUGGUAAUUCUAGAGCUAAUACAUGCGUCGAGUCCCGACUAUCGCGGAAGGGAUGUAUUUAUUAGAUUGAAGACCAAUGCGGGGCCUCGGUCCCGGUCUGUUGGUGAUUCAUAGUAACUGUUCGGAGCGCAGGGCCUCUCGUGCCGGCGCCGGAUCAUUCAAGUUUCUGCCCUAUCAACUGUCGAUGGUAAGGUAUCGGCUUACCAUGGUUGCAACGGGUGACGGAGAAUUAGGGUUCGAUUCCGGAGAGGGAGCCUGAGAAACGGCUACCACAUCCAAGGAAGGCAGCAGGCGCGCAAAUUACCCAAUCCCGACACGGGGAGGUAGUGACAAUAAAUAACAAUACAGGGCUUUCGUAAGUCUUGUAAUUGGAAUGAGAACAAUUUAAAUCCCUUAACGAGGAACAAUUGGAGGGCAAGUCUGGUGCCAGCAGCCGCGGUAAUUCCAGCUCCAAUAGCGUAUAUUAAAGUUGUUGCAGUUAAAAAGCUCGUAGUUGGAUUUCGGCGGCGCCGCGUCGGUCCGCCUGGCGGCGUGUCACUGUCGCGGCGCGGCUUUCUCUCGAGGGCCGCGCGUGCUCUUGAGUGAGCGUGCGCGGGACUCGGGACGUUUACUUUGAAAAAAUUAGAGUGUUCAAAGCAGGCGGUUGGGCUU
Molecule: ribosomal RNA, 770 nt
Filed under: Plakortis sp. KY275
Lineage: Eukaryota; Metazoa; Porifera; Homoscleromorpha; Homosclerophorida; Plakinidae
Description: SSU rRNA
Rfam family: Eukaryotic small subunit ribosomal RNA
Source: RNAcentral